Molecule: ribosomal RNA, 253 nt
Filed under: uncultured bacterium
Lineage: Bacteria
Description: partial 16S ribosomal RNA
Rfam family: Bacterial small subunit ribosomal RNA
Source: RNAcentral
UACGUAGGGGGCGAGCGUUGUCCGGAAUUAUUGGGCGUAAAGAGCGUGUAGGCGGUUCGGUAAGUCUGCCGUGAAAACCCAGGGCUCAACCCUGGGCGUGCGGUGGAUACUGCCGGGCUAGAGGGUGGUAGAGGCGAGUGGAAUUCCCGGUGUAGCGGUGAAAUGCGCAGAUAUCGGGAGGAACACCGGUGGCGAAGGCGGCUUGCUGGGCCAGUUCUGACGCUGAGGAGCGAAAGCGUGGGGAGCGAACAGG